CGCGAACCAUCGAGUCUUUGAACGCAAGUUGCGCCUGAGGCCACCCGGCUGAGGGCACGCCUGCCUGGGCGUCA
RNAcentral lists this ribosomal RNA (74 nucleotides) under Pappostipa chrysophylla. RNAcentral describes it as "5.8S ribosomal RNA". It matches the Rfam family "5.8S ribosomal RNA", at positions 83 to 154 of the family's 154-position model. Rfam says of the family: 5.8S ribosomal RNA (5.8S rRNA) is a component of the large subunit of the eukaryotic ribosome. It is transcribed by RNA polymerase I as part of the 45S precursor that also contains 18S and 28S rRNA. Functionally, it is thought that 5.8S rRNA may be involved in ribosome translocation. RNAcentral also lists the same sequence under 3 other names. The record is from RNAcentral. Lineage: Eukaryota; Viridiplantae; Streptophyta; Magnoliopsida; Poales; Poaceae.